UGACUAUUUUUGUCUGAUU
RNAcentral lists this small nuclear RNA (19 nucleotides) under Arabidopsis thaliana (thale cress). RNAcentral describes it as "snRNA_03004". Lineage: Eukaryota; Viridiplantae; Streptophyta; Magnoliopsida; Brassicales; Brassicaceae. The record is from RNAcentral.